This 147-nucleotide long non-coding RNA is filed under the name Sander lucioperca (pikeperch). RNAcentral's name for it is "lncRNA (ENSSLUG00000010017.1)". Lineage: Eukaryota; Metazoa; Chordata; Actinopteri; Perciformes; Percidae. The record is from RNAcentral.
UCGGCCGGCGUUGGGAGCUCUGUCCCGGACAAGUUGAGGCUUCCUCGGGGAAGCGAGAUGAAGAUAUGGAGGAGGUUGAGCGAUAUGGCAUCUUGUUUAAUUUCUGCCAAUCAAGACGAGAGGAAGACGACUCCCAAACUGGCAUGA